UUACCAAAAGCUCAAACAGGUGCUAAACUUAUUUCCAUCAGCUAUUCAGGGCAAUAAAGGAUAUUAAAUGAAACGUUAGUUUUUGUGACACAUCAUUUAUUACUAAUUUGAAACACGGCAGUUAUUCUACAUGUAAAUCAUCAAGCUAGCAUAAGCACCUUAUAUUGAUAUAUGCCAGGCGAUAGAGCUGGGUCGUGCCAGAAAUGGUUCUAAAAUGAUUUACAAGCAGACCUAUCUAAAUUUGUUAGUCCCUAAAUUAUCAUUUGCCAUCACAUAUGAUUCUACUAAAUUCUUUAACUUUAAAUUUGGAAAAUUGCUUCUAGGAUGGUAGGAAAGCGUACACCAACCUCAUAACAAAUGUUCCACCGGUUCAAGCCCGACGUAUCAUCCUCCGCUGUGCCGGAGCCGAUUUUGCAGCAGCAGGAAUCUGACCCGACACUGCAGAGCGCCACCGAAGGACUAAGGUCUCAGUUUGAAGGUGACGUCUCCUCCAUCCAGCAGAAGAGCGAAAACCUCACGGCGAACUGCUCCCCAGACACACUUGAAGUUUUAGGAAUAUGGACAGAUUUCCAUACUCUGAUAUGUGACUGAAUUCACAUUUGUAGUUACAUAAAAACUAAAAUCCCGUCAGCUGAAAGAAACAUUUCAAGAUUAAUAACUAGAAGCAUGUGCUCUGCUAAUCUAAGAGACAUUAUGUGAUCUAAGUUUCUCACCAGCUGGAAAUUCCUAGAGUGGACUCAUCUCACAGCUCUGAUACUCCCUCCCAACCACAUUGUUUUACCAGCAGACUGGAAACAAAGCGAAAUGGUCAAACAGAGAUUCAACAAGGAGUUACACCUGAGGACAUCUAUAUAUUAUCAUAUUCUACUUACUGUUUGUGGCAAAAUAACAACAGCAUGAGCUCCCUAGCUCAUGGAUGCAGCGGCUACUGCAUAACCAAGCCUCUGAUCAAUGCUACCAGAGCAUGAUGUAUUUCGCUUCACUGUUCUAUGUAUGAAAGAUGCCCAUCCAGGGCGAAAACCAACCAGGAAAUGAUCUCAAGCCUAACUAUCCCUGGGAUGACACAAUUAAAAUAACAGUAACUAAUGAAAUUUAUGGAAUAAUUUUAUAUGUAAGUAUAACAUAUAGAAACAAAUCAUAUUUAAUUAUUUAAACAUAUUUCAACCUAUUUUGUAUUUAUAAAUUACGAUUUGAUUUAAAUAUUUAAUUAAUAUUAUUCCAUAAUUUUAGGAUUUAUUUGAAGUAGCAACACUAUCCGAUUUAAUUAGUUUCUAAUUGGCCAAAUGGCUGUCAUUCGUUUUGUUGCUACAUCAAUGACUUUCUUGCCAUGAAACAAAACUAUAUUAUAUUCGAGACAAUCCUAAAAACGUUAAACUGAAUUACACAUGCAAAGUGCCGUGUCACAAUACCCCUCUCCCCGCUGUUGCGUUUUACCAAGGGUAAAACGCUCGCUGUCCUCAGCGACUAUCUAAUCUAAAAUAUGUGUCACAAAGAAAGGAAAAAAAACCAAACUACACUACCUCGACCAUACCUAUUAUGGGAGAACCAAAAAAAACACAACCAAAAUGAUUGCCGCAGGUCUCGAGAACUCUAUUCUUAAAAAAUAUAUAUUUAACCUCUCACAUGCACAACAAAACCGCAAAACCAAUAAAUUUUGAAACCACCAAUUCUCGAACCCACACAACCUAAAUACAAAAAAAAAAUAUGUGGUAUCCGAACACAUCAGAAAAAACCACAACCUAAUUCCUAACUAACCAGUAAACAUUCCUUGGCUUUACCAGCACAACAUUGCAUCGUCGCGCUGGAAAAACCAAACCAACUGCCAGGACUGAUGAUCAGCAUUCCAAACUUAUCUCUACUAGACCGGGCAAAAUAAAAAUUCCGAAAUAAUUCCUACUUCGAAGUUUACUUUAUAAACUUGAGAAGUUAAUUAAAAUUCCAAUCCAAAAUAUAAUUCGUAAUUCCGAAAUUUCCAUUCUAAUCCUAAAAUGUUGCAACCCUACAGGUUGAGGACACCAAUAACUGUCUCAACCCUUCAGGUUGACAACCCAAACAAAAACCCAAACCAACAAAAUACCAAUCCUCGAAAAAACCAACAACAAACGGUUGAAUUGGACACAUCUUGGCUGUGCCAACUCUUCCAUUAUACAAAGCUAACCAACCCAUACCAAACAUCUGGGCCCUUCGAGUUGGUGAGAGUAACCGAUCCCCCAACUCUCCGGAUCACAAAACAAACCAACCAAAACCUUACACAACUCUGAGGUUGCAACAUGCCCAAAAUCUCAACCGUUUGGUUGAGUACAGAAACAAUAUCGCACGCCAGGCAUGAUUGGCGGCGAUACCGCGUGUCGCAUCUUCGCCUACAAAAUAUUUCUCGUGGUAUCGGCAGCGCGAACACAAAAAAUCGUGUGCCUCACCAACGCCUCUAUGGCUUGGACUUAUGGGCAACACGUACAUAAAAAGGUACCCACCAGCGAGUACCAGUCGACGCUGAAAAGAGCAAGAACCCAUCGGAGUACACAAAAAGAACGCUCACGUCCCCCGGUAUGCAGUGCGCGCCCCGCCAUACCUCACAAAAUCUCCUGGGUGUGGACCCCUGUCGACCCAAAACACAAAACGCACCAACACGGCGCUCGGGUGUGGUAAGCACCCGAUAACUUCUCAAAAAACCUAUUGGCCGUAUUAAGGAUCGCUCAACACCUAAAAAAAUGAGCUAGAUUGUAACGCCCCUUUCAUACUUCACGCAUUUAUAGAACUGUUCCAAGAACCCUUUCAUUCAUCACACAAAACAAAAAAAUAGUAGUGAAAACAGACAUUGCUGCUCACCACGUUCCGUACAUACAGUCGUGAUUGAAUAUUUUUACCACAAUAUCCAACACUCCAAACGAAACAACCGUAGAACGAAACGUUAUGGCGUAAGCGAGGGCGUUUACUCUGGCGGCAAGGUGAAAGCUAAAAAAACCCGGACCUUGCGUCCAGAGAAAACUUCCACCUCCACUAAACCUACCAAAAACCUUGUGUCUACAUCCUUAAUACGCCACGAUCCAAACUCAAAGUCCAGAAUCCAAGACUACUUCAACCUAGCACCAUAUAAAAACUUCACUUUAACUUAAAACUUGGUGCUAAAAGAAAAACACUAUCGUAACGUUACAUCAUUACAUGGAAUGUUUUGAAACACCCCGUAAUGAUAAACCAAGUUAAUCAAUAACUUCAAAAAACGAGCGUUUAUUAAACGCUGACACGUUUCUUAAGUUUGGACCCUAAAAAUAUCAUGUUUCCGAACGCAUCCUUUGUUGAACUUAUCUAUUUACUCUAUGGUUUAAAAAAAUUAAAUGUCACAGAGAUAUUUUGCGAAUUUUAACCUUACCUACCAAAAAAAACUUUCGCCGCAUUUAUUACUAGAUUUAUCUAUACUUCAGCCAAUACUUUAACAACAAAUUGGAAAACUAGAUAUGAGUGUGAUCAACUUCGAACAAAUACAUACUUAGAACUUCAAUAUCUAGUUUGUCAAAAUGCGAACUUGGAAUGGAAUUAAAUCUACUAAUAAACACAGAAUCCUAUAUAACUGUGCUAAAUUUGAACAACAGACCACCAUAAAAGCAAUAGAUAUCCAGCUAUGCCUAUAACUGGACACCGGACUAUAGGAAUUUGUAACUUCAGAAAUCAAUGAAAAAAUAUGGGAACACAGGCACUGGCAGUGCGCAGAAGUAGUAUAUCUUCAACAAAUCAAAAUCGUUUCUAAUCAGGAACACAACAGAAGUCACUUGCCGGAGACUAUCAAAGGUUACUGCUGCGGUCGGACACAAACACUGCCACUUCACAGCCGUUCCUGCAAGCUUCCAACUACUGCCAGCGACGCCUCUGUGUGGAUCUACACCUCAUAAAUAAGUUCAACGGGCAUUAAACAUUAAAAGUGUACUGAAACCGCCAUUGUAUAAUAAGUUUAACUCAAAAUAUUUAAAUAUGAUGGCAAAAGACUUACAAAUUGAUGUGGCACUAUUGUAUCAUUUCUAUUUGUAAUAAACAAUGCUAUAUCUA
This is a long non-coding RNA of Cydia fagiglandana, 4038 nucleotides long. RefSeq lists it as uncharacterized. The record is from RefSeq and is a predicted model, not a curated record. NCBI's taxonomy places the organism in Eukaryota, Metazoa, Arthropoda, Insecta, Lepidoptera, Tortricidae. The transcript is spliced from 2 exons.